UAUUGGUGUUAAACAGUGUCACCUCCAAUCGUGCAUCAGUUAUUAUUUGGAGUCAUGAUGACGGUCAUGUGGUUCUGUCUGUCGUAGCAGUCCCUUACUCCUCGGUGUGUGACACCAUUUCUUGCUUGACGGCUCUAUCUACCACCCAGCACAGGAACCUCCACUGAGCUCCGUCUUCAGGGGAAGAUUGUUCACUCACGAAUGGAUACUGAUGCCCCUGUGCUCAUUAGAAAUAUGUUCGAGGAAAGAAAAACAGAGAUCGAUAAAGGAGGAAACUGAAAAACCUCCCAUUGGGCCAUUUUUUCUCAUGCAGCGUUGUGUGGGAUUGACACAAGACUAAGGCGAGCCAAAUGCAGCCCUGUUCGUCUAUAUUUACCACAGCAGAAGCUGCCAGUGCCAGUGUGUGUAGGAUGGCAGCAAGUAUAGCGCUUCAAUAGGAAAAUAUUGUCAAGAUGGCUCGCUGCAGCAGCCAAGGAACAGACUGAAGAUUACUGUUGCAACCCCAGGUAAGACUCUUAAGUUUUUGAGAUGCCCUGGGACCCUUCUGUCAGAGUUAUGGAGCUACAGGAAGUUUCUGCUCUAAAGGUUUGAAUCCGGACCGAUAGGGGGAGAACUGAGGCAGCAAAGGAGCUUUAAAUGGGACAUCCCAUGCAGUAUUUGAUUUCUUUUUCCCUUCUCCCUUUUCA
Molecule: long non-coding RNA, 686 nt
Organism: Centropristis striata (black sea bass)
Lineage: Eukaryota; Metazoa; Chordata; Actinopteri; Perciformes; Serranidae
Exons: 3
Source: RefSeq, a predicted model, not a curated record